Molecule: long non-coding RNA, 679 nt
Filed under: Phoenix dactylifera (date palm)
Lineage: Eukaryota; Viridiplantae; Streptophyta; Magnoliopsida; Arecales; Arecaceae
Description: long non-coding RNA (PDAC_LNC005064)
Source: RNAcentral
GAGCAUGAGGAAGGUUUGGCCAAGAAAUAAAGCUAUGGUUUCUAAAAUGGCUAAUAGGAUGGCCUGACCUAUAUCAUAUUGUUUUCACGAAAUCGGCACCAUUACAGGUGUUGGGACAUUGAAACAAUUACACCAAUAUGUAUGAUAUAUUAGUCAUAACAAUAGAUACCAUACUCAAUGUUUCGAUGUUACAUCAUUAAUUUUGGCAUGUAUCAUCAGUACAAGUGCUGCUACCCUCUGUUUUCAUGAAAGAAAACAGGAUUAAUAUCUAGAACUUUGAAUCCUAUCAACCUCCAACAUAUUUCAUAUACUCGAGAAUUUUUCUUUGCUAUGCGGCAACUGGAUUAAAGAUGCGAAUAUGUUCGAUAGAUUGAGGGUGGCUGAAUGAUUAGUUUCACAAAAGAUGAGCCUUGUUAACUAUUUCUGUAUAUAGGAGCUCCAUAGUAUUUUCCUGACCAAGUCCAUUGAUUUAUAUUGUCUUGUGCUGGUAAAGUCAAUGGAAUGCACCACUUUGAGCCAUGGCUAUCGCCUUUUUGUUAGCCUGACUUCUGUUGAAAUUUCUAGUGCAAAGAAUUUGGGCCUUUGAAAAAUAUCCAUCCAGAAUGACUGGUUUAAUCUCUUCUGAUUUCCUUGAGGAUUCGAUGGAAGAUUUUAGAUGCCGUGUUAAAAUAUCCCGACC